This 14450-nucleotide long non-coding RNA is filed under the name Eucalyptus grandis. RNAcentral describes it as "long non-coding RNA (EGRA_LNC000130)". Lineage: Eukaryota; Viridiplantae; Streptophyta; Magnoliopsida; Myrtales; Myrtaceae. The record is from RNAcentral.
UCCUAAUUGCGCUCCUUCUUGUCUUCACCAGCUGCGCUGCGAUCUGCUGUUGCUGCGUCCUGGAUGCCUGCUUCUAGGAAUUCCCAGGAGAGGAUCGCCUUCCGCUUGAUUCGUUGAUCUUUGUGUUUAGCAUUCGAUUCUACAGAUCUUCUUUUGUCAUUCUUGAGAUAAAUGGGACAUGUUGUAGUCAUCAUAUACCUUUAUUAUUGCUGUGAUAUAUACUAGCGUUCUUGGGUUUUUCUUGCAUCUUUUAUGUCACACUUCAACCCCGAGUUUCCCUUCUCUUUCUCAUCCACGAAGCGAGUCCAAGAUGAAUUUAAGAUUGAGAUCCAAGCUACAUGCGAAAGUAGACGUACCUAUUCUUAUUAACAAGACAUUUGGGUAGCUCAUCGCUUUAGAGAGGUGAACAUAAUUAUAGAUUGGGCGCAAAAGCCUAAACAAGAAAAUCCUUGUCACGAAAUAGAAUCUCAUUUCCCCUCCCUUUGGAGUCCUAUUGAACCGACUUGGUGGGCCUUGACGUCUUGUCUUAGCAAAAUUGAAUGCCACUCAUCAUUCAACCAAGAAAAAAAAGGAUUUCUAUGCCACGUGUUCAUAUUUAUGCACAUGUUACUCCUGAACAUUUGGCUCUGAACAUGUGGCUCGUUCGUUGCUCGAUGGAGACUUGACAUUUCUUUUCGGUCGUUAAAUCACAAUGCGUUUCCUAAGUUUCUGUCGAUCGAGCACGAAACUCCCGUUGCGUGUGCGUUUUGAGGUCAGAAGAUUGCACGGGACUCGCCUCGACUCUUUCUUCGACAACCAAAGUUGACCAAACAACUUAGAUUGGAUUAGAAAGAGGCCCAAUAGUUUCACACCAUUCGGCGACAACAAGGUGCCAUGUGGCAGUAUUUUGACCCUAUUUGGGAUCACAAGUAUAAUGAGGUACGUAACCAACCCCGCCCCAGGCCCCCCCAGCCAACAGCAUCAUGUCACGGCCAAGAGGUUUUCAAAGAUGAAGGACCAGGCCGUGACGCGGAGGACCUCCUGCACUCGCUGGGAUUCCCAUCAAGUCUUCUUCCUGAAGUUUCCAAGGAUGGGCGACGCUGUCAUUACGCCUGAUUCUAGAAGUUUCUAGACUUAUUAAUGUCGGUAGAUGGUAGUUGCCAUUAAUGUCGGUAGUUGAGGCGGUGCGAUAUCAUCCACUGGAUAAAUUCUAGAUCAACGAAUGUAAUCAGAGGACCUUGAGUAUAAGAAGGGGUGCUCUCCCCCCUCAUUUGUAUCAUCCAACAUUUCAGUAAUACAAAGCUCAUUUCUUUCCAAAGCUCCUCUCUCUAGAAGCUUUAUCUCUCUACGAUCUGGGUGUGCGAGCGAGUUGUACGAUUGAUCAAGCAAGGCUUGGCUUGGGUGAUCCAAAGUGCUCGAGUCGCUAUGCGGUCACGAUCCCAAUCGAUUGGCCUAUGACAAGUGGUAUCAGAGCAAAUGAGAGUUCUGUUUUGAGAGAUCGAGGAGCACCAUCUGAUCGAGAGAAUGUCGAGCCAAGAAGCUGCUAUGGAUGGAGAGGCCGUGCAAGUCAAGGAGACCCACGGCUGAGCAAAGAAAAGAGAUGCCUUGAUGGAUGCCAUAGCUGCGUUCGAUGAGAAGAUCGGGAAGGUCCGGAGUGCCGUGCUCGAGCUCAUGGAAGGUCUUGACAAUGUGAGAGACCGGAUCAUGGAGGUUGAGACCUCACUCCGUGAAGACUUCACGACCAGCCUCAACAAAGCUACAGCCCCAUUGCACGAUAUGGACGAAGCCCUUGAAGCAUCGAUCGAUGUGUUGAAAGAGUGCGUCCAAGUGAUCGAGGAGGAAAGUCCGCAUAGGGACGAGGUCGAAGCCAUGAAGGCGGAGAUCCAAGAGCUCAAGACCGAGCUCGCCCUAUGCAAGCUAAGCAUUGCCGAUGGAGCAAUGCCAACACAAGCGGUGCCCAAGCUCAAGGUGCCGAAGCCAAAAGAGUUCAAAGGCGAACAAUCCACCAAAAAGGUGGACAACUUUGUUUGGAGCAUGGAGUAAUACUUUGGCAUUGUCAACAUCCAAAAUGAGUCAAUCCAGGUACAAACCACUUUGAUGUUCCUUUCUGAUACUACAAUGCUUUGGUGGCAAAAUAGGUGCGAUGAGACUAGGCGCGGUGCCAAUCCCAUGGAGACAUGAGAUGACUUCAUAAGGGAAUUCCGAGACUAUUUCUUCCCCGAGUUUGCUCAACAAGAAGCCCGUAGCAAGCUGCAUCGCCUCGAACAAAGAGGUGCCAUCCGAGAGUACGCGAAGGAGUUCACGGAGCUCAAACUCCAAAUCCGCAACCUAAAUGAGGAGGAGUCUCUCAGAGCGUUCAUGGAUGGAUUGAAGCCGUGGGCACUACUCAAGCUCAAGCGACGAUGUGUCGAGUCUCGCGAGAGCGCUAAGCGUGGCCGAGUCACUCGUCGAACUCACCAAAGUCAAACCGAGGAAUAAAGCAAGGGAUUGGAGGUCGGAUCGAUCCGAGGACGAAGGAAGGAACACUCCCCGAGGCCGGCAUGAACAAAGCGGCCUAGUCAAAACCUGGGGUGAAGGCACUUCUAAGCCAGCCUUCCAAAAGGGUCGACCAACGAACUGCUUGACAAGUAAGUUCGAUCAACCCCCGCCUUCUCCUUGUUUUAUCUACAAAGGUUCGCAUUGGACCCAAAAGUGCCCGAAGAAGGGUCGAAUCAAUGCCCUCCUUGCCAUCGAGGAAGAGGAGGAGCCUAAAGAAGACAAGCGGCAAAUCCGGCUUGGAGCUGUGAAGAUGAUCAACUCCGUCCAAGCUCAAUCACCGUCCAAAGAAAAAGAGGUUGCGUCGAACUCGGACAUGUUCUUCGUGGAAGUCAACGUGUGCGGCCGAACGCUAUACGUCUUGGUCAACAUGGGUGCGUUGAACAUGUUCAUGUCGACCGAAGUGGCGAAGGCCUUGAAACUUCGCGUGGAGCCAAUCGGGAAUUCCUUCAAGCCUAUCAACUCGGAGGGCCUCCAUGGUGUAGGAUCGACUUCGGAUGUGGAUGUCAAAAUCGGCAGAUGGAAGGGCAAGAUGGCAUUUGAGGUAAUCCCUCUCGACGAUUAUGAUCUCAAUUUGGGAAUGCAAUUCUUCGAUAGCGUGAGAGCCAUGAUCAACAUGAGGACCAAGUGCAUUAUGAUCCUCGACCCAAAAUGCCCGUCGAUGAUUCCCAUGAUCAAAGCAAUUGACACCAAGACCAUUGUGACGAUCCGACACUUUGACAAGAGCUUGAAGGCCGUGAAGUGCAUGAACAAGCCGGUUGAGGAGAAGUCGAAGGUAGAGCUAGAUCCUACUCCAACUCACGCCAUGCCAAUUCAAGCACUCUUCCCCAAGGUUGAGUACGCGUCGCAUGAUCUGUCCAAGCCGAAGACGGAGCCAUGUGCCACGCUCGAGCUGAUAAUCGAAGGGUGUGGUCCGUCGUUUGUGAGCAUCCGCACCAAACGAAACCGAAACAAGAAAGCCCAUGCCAAAGCCCGUGCUUGUGCGAAGAAGGCCGCUCGUCAAGCUGUGAGCAACGAGGGCGUCACUCGAUUGAGUGGGGCAGAAUGUCACGGCCAAGGGGUUUCCGAAGAUGAAGGACCGGGCUGUGAUGCGGAGGACCUCCUGCACUCGUUAGGAUUCCCAUCAAGUCUUCUUCCUGAAGUUUCCAAGGGCAGGCGACAUCGUCAUUAUGCCUGAUUCUAGAAGUUUCUAGCCUUUUUAAUGUCGGUAGAUGGUAGUUGCCAUUAAUGUCGGUAGUUGAGGCAGUGCAAUCUCGUCCACCGGAUAAAUUCUAGAUCAACAGAUGUAAUUAGAGGGCCUCGAGUAUAAGAAAGGGUGCCCUCUCCCCUCAUUUGUAUCAUCCAACAUUUCAGUAAUACAAAACUCCUUUCUUUCUAGAGCUCCUUUCUCUAGAAGCUUUCUCUCUCUACGAUCCAGGUGUGCGAGCGAGUUGUGCAAUUGAUCGAGCAAGGCUUGGCUUGGGUAAUCCAAAGUAAUCGAGUCGCCGCGCGGUUACGAUCCCAAUCGAUUGGCCUGUGACAAUCAGCGACGACAUACUGUAGCUUAUUGAAUUUCAUCACCAAAAUUUUAAUCUUUUAUUGAAUUUUGAAUAUUCGAAAUUGGGUGAAAGGACUAAACUGAUAAAUCGUUAAAAUGUUCAAGACUAAAUUGACAAAUCAUAAAAAAGUUUAUGAUUGAAUUGGUAAUUUGUCUAAAAUUUUUAAAUUAAAUUGAUACAAUUAAAAUGUUUAGAAUUGAAUUGACCACUGUACGAUAGAUUUAUAAUCUGUUGAACAAUUUUCUCGAAAGAAAGUAUAUUCCAGAAAAAUAAAAAAUAAAAAAUAAAAAAUAAAAAAAAAUAUAUAAGGGUUGCUAUUAGGGCGCAAUGGUUAUAUCUUCCGAAGACGCAAUCAUCAUCCUUAUUUCUCUCGACUAAGAAACAAGAGUCAAAUGUAUCAUUUUGCAAAGUUUGCUUUUCAUGGCACCUCAUUUUUUUAAUUAGAAAAAGGAAAACAGCAUAGCAAUCUUGAUAUGGAGUUUUUUUUCAAAAAUAAAUCUCACUCCUUUUUUUAUGUACAUAUAUGUGCAAUGCUCACAAGGAUCAAAUACCGGAUCCGAUACUCUUCAGCCUCACCCCUUUAAUCCCUUUAUUAGCAGGACUGCAAGCCUUUUGCCAUCUGGUUAUAGAGUUGGAAGUGGGGUUUUUGGUCACCUUUCAAAUUUUUUUUUUUUUUUUUUUGUUUCUUUUGGACCUUCGCAUGUCCGUCUCCUCUGUCGAGCAUGUGAGUUUAACUAAUCCACAUCUCGAUUCUUCAAAAAGCAACAAAUCUAAUAUAAAUUACAUAAAUAAACGACAAAACAGAUUGCUUACAGAAGAAUGCUAGCAGGUUUCGAAGGUUUGGACCGAACGAACGACCGACCGGCCGAGCGGCCCCACCAAAGAGCAUUCGCAUUAGGCGACGCGGAGAAGGAAAAGGAAAAAACGGCAGAGACGUACGCAAUACGACAUCAUUAUUUUUUGCAAAUAAAUAAAUACAUGAAUAAAUUAGAAACUGUUUCGACGAGGGCUGAGGAGAUCGGCCCUGAGACGACACCGCGUUUUUUCUCCCUUCGUGGGCCGCAUCAAACAAAGACAGCACGGCCUCCUCCUCGGCUUUGUUUAAUCCUCACGUUGGCUGGCUGACGCCGCCGAAAAGCGCCACCUGUCACGAAUUAAGAAGGUCCUCAAAAGUCCUCAUUCAACUCCAAUCUGUAUUAUUCGUCAACCUUUUGAGAUUCCUUUAUUCACGAUUCUAUAAUCCAAUUAAGUAAUGAAAGUAACUAAUCCGGCACGUUAUAGAAAAAUUAGAAUGCAUUUGCUACAUUGAAAACUUAGUCAUAUGUGAAAAUAUUAGGAAAAUAAUUAGUUUUCAUUUAUUUGGCGAUCAGGAAAAGUGACUUUCUUUUUGCCAAAAUGAGAAAUCAUUUUCCCAUAUCUAAGCUUGUUGUCCAUGGAAAAUGUUAGAGAUAAUUAGGAUAGUACUCUAAGAUAUUAUCCUAUAUUAUAUAUAAUUAGAAUACUAUGUUGGCUUUCUGACUCUCAAAAUUGUGUGAUAUCUACUUUGAUUGUGCAUAUCUUGAUUGAUAUAUUUUAUCUUUGAUAGUCUCUUACAAAGUCUAUAAAUAUACCGAUGUGCUCUUCAUUAUAAUAUAUCGAAAUAUAUUGAGAAUUCUCAUCUUCUCUCUUUAAUGUUUUUACAUUUAACAAAAAUCAUUUUCUUUAGUUCAAUUAGCUUUCCGUUAUACAAAAAUCGAAAAGUCAAGAAAUUUUUUUUCUCGAAAAUAGUCUUCCUUUAAACAAAUAAACCCUAAACUUGUUCAAUAACUCUAAUUGGCAUCAGUGUAUAGAAUCCAAUCAAGUGAGGAACUCACUCAUUAUGUUAGGUGACAUCAAGAUUACCCCAUGUGUGUCUAAUAAAAUCGGAAAUUAUAGGUAUGAGAAAAUCACCCCAAUUGCACUGUUUUAAGAUCUGCUGCAAAUUAAUAACAAUGGACGAUUGAUCUUUCAAUAAUUAUCAAGGAAAUUUUCAAUGUUUUUGACACUUGCUUGCUAGGUCAUUUCGACACAAUCUCGGAGUUAAUCACAUCUUAUAAGAGUUUGUUUGGAAUGACUUUCGCUUCUUAAUUUUCUUCCUCAAUCUAAGUCUUGCAAUUUGCAUAAUCACUUUUUUCUUGUUUUUAAAUCCGAAACUCCCGAAAAUUAGUAACUUUCGUUUUUGAUUUUUGACAUACUAAAUUUUGACCAGGAAAAAAGAGGAAGUAAAAACGAGAACCGGUUCGUCAGCUAAAGUUCGGGAAGGACGGGAGAACGCUUUGGCUUGGCCUUUUGCUUAGUGUGUACGAGCUCCUGCGUCGCGACGCGCCUUCGGAAGCAUCGUCAACUACCGCCUGCUCCCCCUCCUCCUUCCCAGCAUCUUCUUACUCCUCCAUUCUUUCUAUAAAUCUCCGCACCAUAUCUGCAUUCUCAUCAUCUCCUAUCAUCUCUCUUGCUUCCUCUCUCCAUCAUCUCCACCAUCUACGUCAUCUCUCUCUCCAUCGUAUCUCUCCAAGCACAGAACUUCCUCGUGAGCUAGGAGAGAUCUCAGUCAACGUUUUCCGAUCGAAGAUGAGCCAGCACAACACCCAGAGCCAAAUCCCAGGUAAUGAUCAAACCCACCCUCGAUCUGUUUCGACUGUCCCGCCCUUUUGAUGUCGAUUCUCUCUAUCUCUCUCUCUAGUUUUUGCCGAUCUGAUCUUGGUCAAAAUCGUUUCUCCUGCUCCUCUUCUCAAUGCAGUGGUGUUCUGCAAAUCGAUCGGGUUUAUAUGGACUUAGGAUUUGCAGAAUUCGCACAUUGGUCGUAAUUAGGGUCGAGCAAGAGCUCCAAAGUCGGAUAGUGGUCGGUGGACGAUUGUAACAGUAGUAGUUCAGGAAUCCGUUUGUUCAUCUGUUCUUGUUUUUAGACUUGACAAAGAAAUCGAUCUAGCUCUCCUUUUCGGUUAGAAUUUGUGUUUGAAUUCUUGGGAGGAGCCGCCGGCGGUCUUCUUGGGGGCCUGGUGGAGGCGGCUGUGGUUGCUGGCCCAACCACCGAAGUUCAAACAGCCUUUUCAAACUAUUGACCUUGAAUUAUAUGCUCUUGGAUAUUCAUAUAUCGUUGACUUGUGAUGACAAUAUGCAAUAUUCUGUGCAGUGGCGUACCCACCACCGGCAUCAGCACCUGCGUACGUGGCGCCACCACCGCCCGGCUAUCCCACGAGGGACGCCCAACAGCCAGUGCAGAACACCAUCCCCAUCGAGACCAAGACUAGGGGCGACGGCUUCUGGAAGGGCUGGUAAGUGAUUAUCUCGCAAUGCAGCCCCUCCUUUGCUUCUACAUAUUUAUACACAUUCGCUUGUCCUAAUUGCGCUCCUUCUUGUCUUCACCAGCUGCGCUGCGAUCUGCUGUUGCUGCGUCCUGGAUGCCUGCUUCUAGGAAUUCCCAGGAGAGGAUCGCCUUCCGCUUGAUUCGUUGAUCUUUGUGUGUAGCAUUCGAUUCUACAGAUCUUUUGUCAUUCUUGCGAUAAAUGAACAUGUUCUAGUCACCAUAUACCUUUAUUAUUGCUGUGAUAUAUACUAGCGUUCUUGGGUUUUUCUUGCAUCUUUUAUGUCACACUUCAACCCCCAGUUUCCCUUCUCUUUCUCAUCCACGAAGCGAGUCCAAGAUGAAUUUAAGAUUGAGAUCCAAGGUACACGAAAGUGGACGUACCUGUUCUUAUUAAUGAGACGCGAUACAAAGAAAGCUACAACCUCUGUUUUUCGUCUCAAUUUUAGUGUUAAUGACAGCGGACGUUGAACAAAAUGGGGGGCGGGGGUGAGAAUUAGAGCUUGUACGAAGAAUGAACAUAGUUAAAAGUAAAAGGGCACUUGUAGCCUCCUCUAGCGGUUGGCGAUUGUAUGCCCUAUUAAUUUUGGGGAGAGAGAGAGAGAGAGAGAGAGAGUUAUGAUCCUUAACCAACUCAUUUUUCCAAAGCAAAAUAUUGUUACCAUCACUAAAAUUGAAUAUUUUUUAAGGGAACUAGACGCUUAAAGUAUUUCAUCACAAAUAUCGAGACUUAUGCGUAUGAUAUUGCUUAAUAAGUGUUUACUCCUCAAUAAAAUUUGUGAUAUCGUAGGAUCAUUCCAAGUUAUGUGUAAUUGUUCCAUGUUCACUGAGAAUGCUUAUAUUAUAGCUAUCAUGGAGACUAGACAAUAAAAAAAAUUCCAAAAUUAAGACUUUACUUAUUUCGCAAAAAAUGAGUAAUUUGGAAAAUAUUUUUUAGAUGAUACUUAAGUCGUUUGAAAUAAUAAGUUGAUGAAAAAUAUUUUCAUCAUCGAAAAUAAUUUAUAUUUAAAUAUUUAUGUAGAUGACAAAAAUAUUUUUCAUUCAUUCAUUUUUUUAAUAAAACAUAUGAUCAUUUUUUUAAAUACUUUUUCUUUGUGAAAUAAAUAAAGCCUGCGCUUGCUCUAAAUGUCCUCUCACGUCAGAUUGGCCGCCACCUUUCUCAUCAAGUGGAAUCCAUGGAUCACCUGAUAAUAUUGAUCUGUGGACGGGUUAAUCUCUUUGGGGAAACAUCAGCGUCCCAAUUCAUAUAUAUAUAUAUAUAUAUUUUCCGAGUGAUGACCCAGAAUACAAUUAUGUCAGCAUGUAACGUCAGUCGAAUAAAAUGUUUGACCGGUUAAUAGGGCAUCUCCAUGUAAUAUGAUUAGGCAAUCAUCCUUUCUUUCCCAACUCUAAGGUAAAAUGUGAUGUGACAAAUUUUGCUAUCGAUAACUAACCGGGUCAUAAACGAAUUGAAAAGAUUGACUCAUUGAAAACAUGUUUAUCACUCAAAGGGAUUGACCCAUUAUGGUCCAACGAGGUUAUACUCGCUUUUGAACACUGUUUAUGCGCAUCUUGUCAAGGGUUUUGUAAAAGCCUUUCAACCUUCGAUUAAUUUGCCAUUAUCUUAUUUAUUAUAUCGUGCUCAUCCCUUUUGCAACCAUUUCAGAUCUCAUUAAUAUUUAACGUUUUUGCCUUUUGCGGUAUUUUAAUUUUCUUUUUUUAAUCAAGGGCAAAAGGAUAUUUGAUUCAAGGAUUUAAUGAGAAAUUCCAACUCAUUCAUGUGUAUAGUUCAUGACUAAUGACAAGAAUUUAGCUAACCAAAGUGUAAAUGAAAAUAUUCCUUUUCUUGUCUUUAUGGAUCUUUCUGCACAUUACGUGGCUUGCAUUGACUAGCUCAUGACAAAGCACUACAUGUAUAUCAUUUGUUAAUUUUCUUUCGGAACCAUGAAUUGAUCGUCAAAUUGGACCGUCGGAUCUUGGGUGGUGUGAAAUAGAUAUAUCUUAAGCCGAACAUUCCGUGCCGAGCGAGACCCUUUUGACAAUGCUCAGAGGGAACCGUUAGUGCUGAUAUCAUGUCCACUCUUUUGUUAAUAAAAAAAUUUAAUUGACAAAUGACCUUUUAUAAGAUAUAAAAAUUCAAUAGGACCAAAAAGAUGUCUUCUAGAUUAGUCAAAAGGCAUGGUCACGUCCAAUGUAAAAGCAUCAUCAUUUAGGUUGAACUAAGAAGCAAUUAUGGAGUUUAAUAACAUUUGCUACUUGAACAAUUUUACAGAGAGAUUUCCGGUUGACCUUCUAAUGAAGAUGCUAAUCCCUAGCGAGAGCUUUUGGUUCAUGUCUGUAUGCAUAUCUCGGAAGGUUCUUCUCCCUAGCAUCUUUUCCGGCAAAGCUCGUCUUGAGAGAUCGACCAAAUUGCAAAGCUCGAUCUUGUUAAGUAUGACUUCGACAACUUUUCGAGAGUGCAAAUACGCUUUUCACGUCAAGACGUCAAUCUAUAUAUUUCAUUUAUCCAAAAUCACGAUAAGGUUCAUUUAGUUGGUUCAUGCAAUGGAACUAUAUGUUUAUCCGCUUAUGAUGACAAGAACUCUCAUCACUUACAGAUCUUUCCGUGAAACCCAUCAACUAGUCAAAACGUAGUCCUUCCUCAACCGGAUUUUGAUGUGUCAAACUUGGUUGGGUUUGGAUUCAAUCCCCUAAGUUGCCAUCUCGAUGAUUUUAAAGUAGUCAACAUAAAUAUUUAUAUCAAAGAACAACCCAAAUGUACCUCCCAAGUAAAUAGGGAAAAUUAUCCAAAAAGCCUUGAAAUUAUUGUACUUUUACUAGUUCGGUCCUAUACUAUUUAAUUUUGCUAAUUGACUCCUAAAUCUAUUAAGUUUUGCCAAUUGAGUCGAUUCAAUCAAUUUUGAUUAAAAAUCGCUGAGGUGGGCAUCAUCUGUCCAAUGUGAUAUGGCUGGUAUUAACGUGGACAAUUUUUAAUAAUAUUUUUUGAAUUAUUUAUUCAUUCAUUUUCUUUUCUUUUUUCCUAUAUUCCUUUUUUCCUUUCACUUUCUUUUUUAUUUUUCCCUCCUUCCCUUCAUUGGCCAUCACUAAGCCUCGUCGAUGGCCAACAAAACCCAUUGGUCUUGGAUGAAGGCCACUUGGGCCUAGGAUGGUGAGGGGGAGGACCUUGCUGGAUCGGGUGAGGGAAACCUUCACUAGGCUAGGCAAAGGCGACUCUCACGCGAUUUAGUGAUGAGCUGCCCUUGUCAACCAUGGCCCAAGUGUCCCUUGCUUGAGGUUGACGGAGGGAAGAAGCAAAAAAGAUAAAAGAAAAAAGAAAAAAAAAAGAAAAAAAGAGAAAAGGAAAAAAUAAAGAAGAAAAUUGAAAGUGAAGGGAAAAAGGAAAAAAGGAAAAAUAAUUUGAAAAAAUAUGAAAACAUUAUUAAAAAUUGUUUAUGUUAGCGCUAGUAGUGCUAUGUAGGAUGUAUGGAAUCUAUAUUAGUGAUUUCGGCCAAAAUUGACUAUAUGUAUUUAAUUGACAAAAUGUAAAAAAAGUUGAAUAUUGAAUUAGCAAAUGUUUAAAUCUGAAUUGGUAAAAAUCCAAUAGAUUUAGGACUUUUUGGACAAUAUUUCCAAGUGGAUGUGGUUGGGAAUUUUUUUUUUUUUUAAAUAAAAGAAUGCUGAGACAGAAAUGUAUUGUACUGUGUUAAAGAGGCUUCUAUUUGUCUGAUUAAGAUUCUCUCUUCCUUUUCAAGUGCUAUCACACCAUAGCUUCUAUAUAUUGUUUCAAAUUCAUGAAUGAUUAAGAUUCGAUCUUUAUUUCAUGUACUUUCAUAUAAAACACGAUCGGUUACUUGCUUAGAGAGUUUGACUUCUCUGCCAGCCACAAACAAAGCUGAGCAUUAGCUGGUUGGAACAUUGUUUUUUGGGACUAAAUGAAUACCCCAGAGAGAAAUAUCCUGUACUAUAUUAAAGAGACUUUUUUGUAUGAUUAAGAUUCUCUCUUCAUAUGCAUGUGCUUUCAUACCAUAGCUUUGAGAUGGUCUACCCCAUUUAUAAAAAUUUAACUUUUUAAGUCGGAUAUUCUAAUAUUUCUAUGUUAUUUGGUGAAUUAUGGAUUGUUUGAGAAUUAUAGCAUAAUUGCGAAUAAUAAGAAGAGUACCAUGGGUAUUUAUUAGAAAGUAAAUGAAUAUGCAUGUGAUGUAAAUAAAAAUAAUUACACUAUUAAGAGUUAUACAUACUAUAUCAUCAAAUUUAAAUAAAGUUCUAUUAAUUAAAUUUUCAUAACAUAAAUAAUUUUAUAGAUUGUAAACAAUUUUUUCUUUCUUAUUGGAACCAUCGGGCGCUGUCCCUAGCAUAGCCUUGGGUUCUUGGACCCUAAUGUUGAGGUCUUGGACCCAACCAUUUGGGGGAUGAGAGUGCUUGACCAUCGAGGUACCUUGGUACAACCGCCGAAGACUCAAACACUAAUGUUGAGUAGGGGUGUCAAAAACCGAAACGAACCGAAAAAAUCAGUUUUUUUCAGUUCAGUUCUCAUUUGGUUUGGUUCUCAUUAAGAACCAAAAUUUUUUAACUGGUCCGGUUAACUGAACCAAACCGAUAAAAUCUAAAAUUUAUCGUUUUUUUUUUAAAUUUAAAAUCAUUUUUAAAUUUUUUUUACUUUUAAUUUUAAUUUUUUUAAUUUUAUUUUUCUUCGGCCAUGAAAAAGAAGAAAAAGAAAGAAAAAAAUAAAAAAUAAAAAAUAAAGAAUAAAGAAAAAGGAAAAAAAAGAAAAUAAAAAUAAUAAAAAAUAAUUACAAAGUCGAUUUUAAAAAAUAAAAUUUUUAUAGAAAGUGGUGUAUGUAGGGAGAAAUACAAACAUAAAAGUAAAAACCGAAAAAUCAAACCGAACUGAACCGAACCUGGAUUUCGGUUCGGUUCAAUUUCGGGUUGGAUCGGAUUUCGAUUCGAUUCAAUACAUUUUUUAUCGGUUCGAUUUAGUUCAGUUUUUCAAAAAAAUCAAACCAAACCAUUUACACCCCUAAUAUUGAGGACAAUGGGCCUAACCUCGAGGGGCCUUGGCCCGUUUUCCAAGGUCUUGGACUUGAGUACCUAGGACCUCAGCUUGAGCAUCAGAACUAGGCCUCAGCCUUGGGUGGAUUAGGCUCGACCACCAAAGUCCAAGUCAUUAGAACUAGAGUUUCUAAGGCCUCGCCUCGAUGGAUGCAAGCCUGGGCCUCGAUAACAUGGGUACUAGAGUCGAGUACUUGGGCACAACCAUCGGGGACUCAAAUUGGGCACUAGGGUCUUGGGUUUAACCUCGAGGAGUGUGGGCCCAUACUUCAUGGACUCGGGCUCAACCAUUGAGGAAUCGGGCCAUGCCUCAAUUAACUUGAGCCCAAGCACUAGUGAUUUGGGCAUGGGAGUCGAGUAACAAGGCAUGGCCGUUGGGGAAUUGGGCACGGGCAUUGAGGUCCCUUGCUAGACCUAUGUGGAGUCGGGCACAAGGAUUGAUGACUUAGGCAUGGGAGCUGGGUAUCCAUGCCUAUGCAUGGUUACUUGGGACUCGGGCAUGUAUAUUGAGUCUCAACCCAUUCUCAAGAGACCUAGACUUCACCACUAUGGACUUGCACACGAGCAUUGCGGUUUUCGUGCAUAAGUGUCGAGAUUUUUGGUCCAAGCACCGUUGUCUAGUUAUAUUUUUAAAAAUGAUUUGUGAUUUUUUAAAAUAGAAAAUCAUUUAUCUAAAUUUAAACACAGCCUUUUCAUUGAUUAUGGAAAGGUAUUCCGACGACUCAUUUUCUUAAAUGAUUCAAAUGUCAGAGAAUAAGGAAAAUGUUUCUUUUGAUGGAAAAUUUUGCAUAAAACAAAGCCUAAUGAGAAAUGGAACCUUAUUCAAAUGCAUGUUACAUGACUAAUGACAAAAUUAGCUAGCCUAGGCUAACAACGUCCAAACUCACCUUGGGAUACACGUCACCUCUCUUGCUUCGCUUUUGCUUCCCGUGUUCAGACUCACGCGGUCUGACGCGCCUUCGGAAGUACCGUCAACUAUCCGCUCCCUCUUUCUCCGUAUCUUCCUUCUCAUAUAUUCAUCUAUAAAUCUCGCACCGUUCCUUCGCUCUCAUCAUAUUAUCAUCUCUACCAUCUCCCUCUCUCUCUCUCUCUCUCUCUCUCUCUCUCUCUCUCCAAGCACGUACUUUUACGCGAGCUAGAGAUCUCAGUCAACGUUUCCGACCGAAGAUGAGCCAGAACAACCACCAGAACCAAAUCCCAGGUAACAUUCGAACCCAUCCUUGUUCUCUCUCGAAUUUCGCCGACUUUAUCUCGGCAAAAUCGCUUCCUUUUGCCCCUCCUUUUCAUGCAAGAAUAUCCCACAAUCUCAUUUUCAUUAUGAUCGGCGAUUGUAACAACAGUUCAGCAGUCGUUUGUUUGUCUGUCCGUCUUUCUUGUUUUUGGAUUUUCUUAAACUCGACAAAGAAAUCAAUCAGCACUUGUUCUUUCUGGUUGAAAAAUCUUGUUUGACUUCUUGGGAGGAGUCACCGGCGGUCUUCCGGCGGCUGGUGGAGGAGGUGGCUGUGGCCGCUAGCCCCACCACCGAAGUUCAAACCAAAAUUUUCGAACUAUUCAGCUUGAAUUAUAUAAUCUUGGGUAUUCAUGUAUCGAUGACUUGUGAUGACGGUACGCGAUAUUUUGUGCAGUGGCGUACCCACCACCGGCAUCAACAAUGGCGUACGUGGCGCCUCCACCACCCGGCUAUCCCACGAGGGACGCCCAACAGCCAGUGCAGAACACCAUCCCCAUCGAGACCAAGACUAGGGGCGACGGCUUCUGGAAGGGCUGGUAAGUGAUUAUCUCGCAAUGCAGCCCCUCCUUUGCUUCUACAUAUUUAUACACAUUCGCUUGUCCUAAUUGCGCUCCUUCUUGUUUUCACCAGCUGCGCUGCGAUCUGCUGUUGCUGCGUCCUGGAUGCCUGCUUCUAGGAAUUCCCAGGAGAGGAUCGCCUUCCGCUUGAUUCGUUGAUCUUUGUGUGUAGCAUUCGAUUCUACAGAUCUUUUGUCAUUCUUGCGAUAAAUGAACAUGUUCUAGUCACCAUAUACCUUUAUUAUUGCUGUGAUAUAUACUAGCGUUCUUGGGUUUUUCUUGCA